AAUAAAGUGCCUGAUAAAAGGAUUAUUCUGAUAGGAUAAAUUAUGUAAAGAAAAUUUACCUUUAUUA
This 67-nucleotide transfer RNA is filed under the name Apocheima cinerarius. Its description in RNAcentral is "tRNA-Ile". The record is from RNAcentral. Lineage: Eukaryota; Metazoa; Arthropoda; Insecta; Lepidoptera; Geometridae.